Molecule: ribosomal RNA, 369 nt
Filed under: Triticum aestivum (bread wheat)
Lineage: Eukaryota; Viridiplantae; Streptophyta; Magnoliopsida; Poales; Poaceae
Description: partial small subunit ribosomal RNA
Source: RNAcentral
AUGUGCGGGUGUGCGGAGGCGCUCGUGAGGGCGGUGGUGGCCUUCUUCGACGCCUUCCUCGUCGACUGCUUCCUCUUCUGGUUCCGCCGCUGCCACCGUCGCCCCGGCCCCAACAGCCACGCCUCCGCCCAUCGGGAUCCGCUCGUGCCCAAGGACUGGACAAGGGAGGCGCUCCCGGCCUCGGACGAAGAGAAAGGUUUUGCAGAGAGCACAUUGUUGAACCAGCAGUUGGCAGAUGGCGAUGACACAGAUGAGGAGCUUAGGCGAGAGAACACUACUUCAGUUAAUACACUAUCCAGUACUGCUAGUUCUCAUCUCACUUGUUGUGCUUCUUGUACUGGGAGCACUCUUUGUUAUCCCAAGAUCUAA